UAUCUUUUCCUUUAUUUUUCUUUUUGGGUUGACAUUUUGCAUGACCAUAAAAUCAUUGCUGUUAGCAAGUUGCACUGACCUUGGAUUUGAUUGGUUGCUGUUGCAGAUCAUUGGGAAAGUUGUGAUAUGGAGAUCGAGAAUAUUUUGGAUAUGCUGAUUGCUUGAGUAAGUUGGCUUGAGCUAGUAGCAGUUGAUGCCCUCUUCUGCUUGAUAAUGUUAAAUUAUGGAGUUUUCGAUUAAGUUGAGUCGAUCUGGUUGUCGAGCAUCCAAGUGAGAAAAAGAUAUUACUGAUGACCUGUCGAGAGGUACAUGUAUCCCAGGGAAAUGUGUACAGUGUUCUCUCUUUCAGGCCGACUUGAAGCUUGUGGUUGGCUUGAAUCAGUUGGUGUUCUAUGCUUCCACGUUGAGGUUUAAGUCAAAAUCUAUGUGGUGUUAAUUUUUUGUAUUAUUUCCAGGUUACCGAAGGCAGCUUUUAGUGUUUGGAUGCUGAUCGAUGGCGAUGAUAUUAUCGUUGGAGAUUGGCUUCAUUGUGGUUCAACGCUAGUACUGCGACAGAUCGACCUCAACUGUGUGGGUCAUUUAUUAUCACUCUCCUGUCAGAGAAAAAGGCAAAGGCAUCUCUAGUCACUGAAAGCUACCAACAGCAUUUGCAUCAAUAUUCCAAGGUGACGAGGCCCUCCGAAUCUGCUGCGUCGUCGCUUUGCUGGGUGGGAUAUGGCGCAUGUGACGGGCGGAGCAUAGUCGUGUGAGGGGCAUGUGGUUGGUGGAUACAUGGGUACACAGAGACUGCCGUCCUCGGUGAUAUGUCCGCAGCUGCUUCGAGCCGGAGUUGACGAAAGGAAAGAUGGUUGACUUUAUGAGGAUGCAAGGUUCUUUAGUUGAGGUUUUGAAAGUUCUGCAAGAUGAAGACAGUUCACAGCUCUCCUUGAGGUUUGUGUAAACCCAAAGGUCAAACUAUAAAGUAAGCAUCAAACUACAAAGAAAGAAUUGAGAAGUCAAAUGCUAUAUUAAGGUUCAAGUCCAAGACGCUAUGAUCAGUUGAAGUCGUAUGGGUGUCAGAAGAACAAUGACGAUGGAGAACUGAGCUUGCCUGGUGGAUUAAGAACAUUGGAUGGAGACUGGUUGGUGUCGGCUAAUGGAAAGUGAUUAAUAUAGUAGACUGACUAUUCAUGGUUUAUGAUAACAACGAGAAUGUAGAACCUGGUUGACAUUUACAAGGAUGGAAAAUGUUGGUGUUGCGA
Non-coding RNA from Musa acuminata subsp. malaccensis (wild Malaysian banana), 1241 nucleotides. Lineage: Eukaryota; Viridiplantae; Streptophyta; Magnoliopsida; Zingiberales; Musaceae. The record is from RefSeq and is a predicted model, not a curated record.